This 84-nucleotide transfer RNA is filed under the name Tardibacter chloracetimidivorans. Its description in RNAcentral is "Sphingomonas sp. JJ-A5 tRNA". It matches the Rfam family "tRNA". From Rfam's summary of the family: Transfer RNA (tRNA) molecules are approximately 80 nucleotides in length. Their secondary structure includes four short double-helical elements and three loops (D, anti-codon, and T loops). The record is from Rfam by way of RNAcentral. Lineage: Bacteria; Pseudomonadati; Pseudomonadota; Alphaproteobacteria; Sphingomonadales; Sphingomonadaceae.
GCCCGCGUGGCGGAAUUGGUAGACGCAAGGGACUUAAAAUCCCUCGCUCUUAUGAGCGUACCGGUUCGAUUCCGGUCGCGGGCA